Molecule: ribosomal RNA, 137 nt
Filed under: Castor canadensis (American beaver)
Lineage: Eukaryota; Metazoa; Chordata; Mammalia; Rodentia; Castoridae
Source: RNAcentral
UCUAUGGCCAUACCACCCUGAACACACUCAAUCUCACCUGGUCUUGGAAGCUAAGUGAGGUCAGCCUGGUUAGUACUUGGAUGGGAAAAAGAUAUUCAGAGGAGGCUGCUCAAAGAGAAGCAGUUUGGAGACAAGGU